Molecule: long non-coding RNA, 3987 nt
Filed under: Olea europaea subsp. europaea
Lineage: Eukaryota; Viridiplantae; Streptophyta; Magnoliopsida; Lamiales; Oleaceae
Source: RNAcentral
ACCAUAUUAAUAUUUCAUAAAUACAUGUUCAUAAAGCAUAUGCAUAUACAAGCAGCCAAAUAUUAUGCUUCAUUUUCUAAUUUUCAGGUUUCACUUAUUAGAAUUACAUUCACUAUGCAUACCAAAACUCCUACAGUUUCCAUGUAACUACACACAAUCCCUAAUUGUUUGUGCAUAUCCCUCGGUGCUCCUUUAUCUCCCGGGCACUGAAUAGAAAAUUUAUAUAAUGACUGAAGUAUCAGUUAUUGUAACUAAAAGAAUGCAUAAUAUAACUGCUACACCCCACAUUUUGUGCACCCCUUGUAUCAAAGAAAAAUGGAACUAUUCCACUACUUUAGCAACAGGUUUGGUGUUAACUGAUUACUGCCAAAUUCUGACAAGGCUAUACCUAUGUCUUCUUGGUCUCUUUCAAAUGACAACACGAUUAAUGAGGUGCUAAAAUCAAGGGAUUAUGCCAGAGGCAUGCACCCAACUGUCUUAAGUGGUGGUUGUGAUUAGAAUUUCUAAUUUCCUUGGCUAAGAAUCCAAUUUCAAUCUGGACUUUUGUAGUAAUUAAUUCUUGUAAAUUGGGUUAUAUACAGUUGUAAGUAUGAAAAAAAUCUGUAAAUUAUCGAGAUUAAAGUGAAAAAAGGAACAAGGAAAAAAAAGAAAAAUUAAAAGUCACCUUAAAAAACCUUAUCCACAUCUGCAUAAUAUUUCAGUAGUGAUUUGGAAAGGACCAUAACCAAGAAAAGAUGAGGUGUCCAUAUACUAACUGUUAAAUUAUCACCAUCACCCCAAGUUUAUUAUACAAGCAAGCUAGUUAGAUCAUGGGAUUCAUGAACGACGCACAGAACACAACAAUUUCUUCAGAUCGAAGACAGUCUCGAAACUUUACAAAAAGUUAGGCAAGUGUGGUGAAGGAAAACUGUUAAACACUCAAUUUGGUAAUGAUAGAAAUGGGAUGCAAAAUUGUGAUGGAAAUGCUAACACGUCCAACAUUUGGUACGAGAGAAAAUAAAAGGAAUGGGAAAUAGAACUAAAUCCCACCCAUCAUUUCAAAACACUCCAAAUAUGAGGGAAAAUUGAAGAAAAAAUUAUAUAACAAUUAGUUGAAGUGCAAAAACUCUCUUUUACUCAUCUUGAAGACUUCAUUAUGUGUAGAAGAAAUUUCCUCCAUAUGACACUUUUAGAGUAAGAAAAUGAAUUUUAUCCACUACUUUUGGGUUUGUAAAUAUUUUUUAUUUUAUGAAAUUUCUGACAAAUAUGCCCUUCUCUAUUCAAAAGUGUUACCAAAUCCUCACUCUUCCUUUUUGCACAAAUUUCAUACCAUCAAGGGAUUGUCAUCAAACUAGGCAAAUCUGACAAGAAUGCCUAGUCCAUUUAGACAUUAUCUCUUUCUUUUUGCACGAAUUUCGAAAGAUAUUGGGAUUCUUGUCAAACUAGGCAAAGUUGACUAGAAUUUCUAGUCGACAUUAUUUCCUUACCUUUUUGUACAUAUUUCUAACCAUCUAGGCAUUCUUGUCAAGCUAGACCAAGUUAACAAGAGAUUUCAGUCCCUUUAUAUAUAAGAAGGUAAAUUCCAUAAACUCGACAUUUUUGUCUUCUUUCCUUUUCUGUUCUAACUAACAUUACAAAUCCAAUUGCCUCCGACUGUCCUUCCUUCCUAAAGAAAUGGAAAGAACAUACCUGUUACUUUCCAUUUCACCACUUCCACCCCUUCUACCAAAGACACCCUAAGGAAUUUAAAUUGAUGGAGGGCAUGCAAUUGAAAGCAGUAAUCACAAAGAUUUAUCACAGGAAACUCCAGUUCUUUCUAAAAUGGGACUACAACAAAUAACACGAAAUAGAUUGCCAAUAAACAUAAUGAAAUUAGAGCGUACAAUGAAACUGAUACUGUUUUCUCCCUUUUCCAGUCCAAAGGGUUUGCCCACAGUUAAUUAAGAGAAUUGACGGCACUAGUUUGUGGGGAGGUCUAAGAUGUUGCUCCUUAGUGGCAUAUGUAGUUAAUGUUCAAAGAUAAGUAAGAAUACAGCUUAAUAAACAACUGCUCAACUUCUCCAGGAAAAGAGAGGGGGAGAGUUGAAUUUACCGACUUCAGUUUCUCCAUCUUCAGAAGAAGUGGUCUGUGAAGUCUUUUCCAGUUCUUCUGGUUAAAUUUCAAUUUUAGAUCAGGCAUGAAAUGUGUACCAUAAUUUGGCUUUGCUAUUUGUUUCUGUAUACCCUAGUGUCCAUGACUCAAGUGUUGUAUAAUAGAUUGUCCAGUUGCAAUUUUAAAAACGGAUAUUGAAUUUCAGUUUUCAAAUUCAUAAUUUAUCAUCUCUCUUAAUUCCACUCUUUUCAAAAAACUAGAGCAGGUAAUUACUAAAAUGGCACAUAGAAUGAGAACAAAUAGGCAAAUCACAAAUUGCAAUCUUUAUCUCUUCAUGUAUUUUAGUCAUCCUCCGAGCAAUGAUACAUCGCCUGUGAUAAAUGCAAAGUGAUUAGACAAAGAUCGUAUACAUUGCAUUUCUUCAGUUUCAUUUUUCAGAAUUAGAGACAACUAACUUAGAAAAAAGGAGGAGUCUACACUCCGGUUUGGAUUGACAUUUGUCCCCUGGUUUAAAAAAUGUACGCACUGUGAAAUUGAUUUUCCAGAAGCAAGGAAGUUCUAGAAUCCUUCAGAAAGGAAUAAUAAAGAAUCACAAUAUGUGGGAGAUAGCUUUAGUGUUCAUUCCAACAAGUGAGAACUAUCAAAUAUUUUAAAUGCCCAUCUGUUUCAUUGUCAAACUUAUAUUUACAACAAUGGUUACAAAAGGUACCACAGUCGUUGACAAGAUUUACAUAGAGUUGCCAAAAAUUGAAGAAGCCUAUUCAAGAAAUUGAGAGAGCUUGUGAUAAGGAACAAUGAAGACCCGUGUGGCUGCUUCAUUUGCAGAAACUAUCAGCCUCUCUCUUCUCGUUCCAGCAUGUUUAGGUAGAAAGCCACAUAUAAUCAAGCAAUUGAAUACCAGAGUUAUAAAAGAACUACCAAAUGUGAACUCGUUAAUUAAUAAACUCAAAGAAGAUGACCCGAGGACGGGAAUAACAGGUAUAUUUUGAUCCACACACAACUUUGCCUACAUCCAUACUCCAAAAUACCAUAUAUGAGACCCGAAUCUAUGAUAUUAUCAGCCCAAUGAAUUCUUGUUAUUUAAAUGCGCAAGUGCAAUCAAGGGCAUUCCAUUCUGCGCAAGGAGCAGAAGUCUCGUACUAAGGCUGAGAUGCCUCACAUUUACAGACAUAUACAUACUUAUAUGAGUAUACGUAUAAAAGCAACACUUCAUGAAGCUAACAAUGCAAAAUCACAGCAUUAAUAUAUGUCUCACCAGUUCCAUUCCAGGAUCAUUGAUACCUAGUGUCCCAGCAUCACUUAUUAGGGCUACAUUUCACAAUCAUGUUAUCUCUUGAUAACUAUUUGUUCUUGUUGAGACUCAUUAAAUUUGUGAUAACUCAACUGAAAAUCUAAAUCACAAAAUCAGAAAAAAAAAAAAAAAAAAAAAAUCUCACACAACACAUACAUGUAUGCAUCAAAUUAAUAUUCCAUAGCAAACACAGAAAUUAGAAGUGAAUUACAGGUGGGGUGUUAAUACAAUAGCGCUGAAGCAACUUCCCAGAAUGCUUAGUUUCUUCUGAAAGUAAGAUAUCAGCUGAUUUACCAUACUCAAAACUCAGUACGCAUUAAUUAGAAUUUUUAUUUAGCCAAAACCAAGAAAAGAAAAUCCAAGAAAUACAACAUUAAAAGCUUCAAUAAAAUUACACUUCACGCAAUUAACUCACCUUAGAGUUAUAUCUUCAGAUUACCAAUUUACUCAUCUUUGCAAGAAAACAGCCAUGGGAGGUCGAAAUAAACACUGCACAAUUUCCUCUAAAUUUCAAGUCUUUCCUUCCAGACACGGCCCUUUGUCUAGGAAAGGGAAUCGGCCCAGAUCGCCAUGAAAUCUAGGCAUGAGCCCUACUUCUAACCGGCCAGGAUCGGGUGUGUCAAGC